Molecule: ribosomal RNA, 1470 nt
Filed under: Gomphillus americanus
Lineage: Eukaryota; Fungi; Ascomycota; Lecanoromycetes; Ostropales; Graphidaceae
Description: SSU rRNA
Rfam family: Bacterial small subunit ribosomal RNA
Source: RNAcentral
CGAGUUUGGUGAUGGCUCUGAUUGAACGCUAUUCAAGUGCUUGACACAUGCUAAUCGAACGAAUCACUACAUUGAAAAUAGUGAUUAGUGGUGUACAGGUGAGUAUAACAUUGACGAAACCCUAAAGUAAGCCAAAAUAGCUUAUAUUAACAAAAAAUGAAUAUUUGCUUUAGGAUGUUUAUGUAUCGAGUAGACACACCAUAAGUUAUGUAUCUUAUAGGUGGCAAUAAUACUCGUAAUCAAGGCUGAAAGGUUAAUUGAUCACAGUGUGGCAUGAAAAAAGCCCACUACGGACAGCAGUGAGGAAUAUUGGUCAAUAGCCUAAAGGCUGAACCAGCAACUUGGAGGAACGAAAAACCGAAGUCAUGAGCGGUUACCAUGUUAAAAGAAUGUGGGGCGUCAUGCGAAUAGUUCGAAGCAAAUCUUGAUAAUGACAUAGUUUGUUUCUAGGUCUUGACCAACUCAUGUGCCAGCAGUCGCGGUAAGACAUGGAAGGCCAGCGUUAUUCAUCUUUAUUAGGUUUAAAGGGUACCUAGACGGUAGAUAUCAGCUUUUUUCUCUAAAGAUAAUUGUACUAUAUUUACUAGAGUUUGAUGUAAGGAAUCCAGAACAGUGAGUGUAGGGAUAAAAUCUGUUGAUACCACUAGUAACUGGUUUAGGUGUAGACAGGUUCUUAUGUAAUAACUGACGUUGAGGGACGAAGGCUCAAAAAUAGAAACGGGAUUAGUUACCCCAGUACUAAGGGCAGACAAAGAUGAAUGCCAUAUGUAAGAAAAGAGACUUUUUUUAUGUAUAAAUUAAAGUGGAAGCAUUCCACCUCAAGAGUAAUAUGGCAACAUAUAAACUGAAAUCACUAGGCCGUUUCUGGAACUCGUAGUGAAGUAUGUUAUUUAAUUUGAUGACCCACAAAGGACCUUACCACAGUGUGUAUAGUUAUAUAUGUAAAUAUAUUUCGGACAAGUGUUGCACGGCUGUCUACAGUUGAUAUCGUGAGAACUGAUUUGCUUCAGAAAUCAACGAAAUCCCUAACUUUACUUAAAGUAAAGUACUAAUUUUGGCAUAUGGAUCCUUAUCCGAAUUUAAUAUAUGGGAACAGGACAAGUCAUCAUGGCCAAACAUUCAAAUUGAUAGUAUUGUGGGCGAUAGACGUGCCACAGUUAGCCUAGACAAAAAGAUGCAAAAUCGUGAGAUUUAGCUAAUCUAAAAAAUAGGAUAGAUUAUAGAUUGUAGUCUGAAAUUCGACUACAUGAAAUAGGAAUUACGAGUAAUCGUGUAUAAGUAUGGCACGGUGGAUUUUGCCCCAGUUAGGUACUAACCACUCGUCAGGCGCGGAAAGGAGUAUAUGCAAUAUGUUUGGAUUUAUUCAUGUUUUAAUUUAAAUAAAUAGAUUUGAAAAAUAUAGAUAGAUUCUUCGCAUGUGUAUCUCUGAUUGGUGUUAAGUCGAAAUACGGUUCGUGUAGCGGAAGUUGC